GACGAACGCUGGCGGCGUGCUUAACACAUGCAAGUCGAACGGAAAGGCCUUUUCGGAGGUACUCGAGUGGCGAACGGGUGAGUAACACGUGGGUGAUCUGCCCUGCACUCUGGGAUAAGCCUGGGAAACUGGGUCUAAUACCGGAUAGGACCGCACUUUAGUGUGUGUGGUGGAAAGUUUUUUCGGUGUAGGAUGAGCCCGCGGCCUAUCAGCUUGUUGGUGGGGUAAUGGCCUACCAAGGCGGCGACGGGUAGCCGGACUGAGAGGUUGGUCGGCCACAUUGGGACUGAGAUACGGCCCAGACUCCUACGGGAGGCAGCAGUGGGGAAUAUUGCACAAUGGGCGCAAGCCUGAUGCAGCGACGCCGCGUGGGGGAUGACGGCCUUCGGGUUGUAAACUCCUUUCGCCAGGGACGAAGCGUUUUGCGACGGUACCUGGAGAAGAAGCACCGGCUAACUACGUG
RNAcentral lists this ribosomal RNA (463 nucleotides) under uncultured bacterium. Its description in RNAcentral is "partial 16S ribosomal RNA". It matches the Rfam family "Bacterial small subunit ribosomal RNA", at positions 28 to 507 of the family's 1533-position model. The record is from RNAcentral.